Molecule: long non-coding RNA, 14490 nt
Filed under: Durio zibethinus
Lineage: Eukaryota; Viridiplantae; Streptophyta; Magnoliopsida; Malvales; Malvaceae
Description: long non-coding RNA (DZIB_LNC001321)
Source: RNAcentral
ACUGAACAAAAACUUUUCCAUAGCAGCUAUUUUAUCUUUUCCUACCAUGUUUCCUCAGGGACAACUUGUCGAAACUCGAACUAAUUGCUGUCUUUAAGCUCUUUGUGAGUUUGCAAUCAAGUAUCAUUGCAACUAAAGACUUUUUUCUGCUUUUCUAUGCUUACAGGAAGAAAGGAAACUCCUUGAUCAUUGAGACUGAGAAGAGGUAUACUUUCUGCACUUCACUCUGAUAUCUGCAAAGAAACAAACCAAUAAUAAACAUAAAAUUUCAUAUAUGCUGCUAAGAUCUGAACCAUUCCAUAUAUUUUCAAACAAGCAAUCAAAAACUUCUUGAUCUGAUGCAUGAUUUUCUACCUAUAUAUUCUCCCAAGUACUUAUCAAGAAAAGCAAAAAGAAAUAUGUUUUUCACAGUCGAUGACUCAGAAAUAAAGAAACUUAAUUUGAAGUAUACAUAUGCUAAUUAUAAUCUGUAUUUUGUUCUUUCUGUGCAGCUACAUCAACACUGUUGUCGUUGAGACUCAAGCUGAGAAUGAUGGCCAGUGCAAGUGCGGACCUGGCUGCAGCUGCACAAACUGCACAUGUAGUGGUCAUUAAGCAAACAAAAAAUAAUAAUGUUGUAGUUCAUGGCGACAUCAUGACCUAAAAAAUAAUGAAAUUUGGGUUGAAUGUUUUGUCUUUUGUUGUCUGUGUGUCAUAUGUUUGUGUCUCCUUACAUACUGCGAUCAUGUAAUGGCCAUGUCCAUGGACUUGUCUGUUAAUGAAUUACUAUUAGUAUAACGCUUCUCUGCUUUGCUCUUUCUUUUACACCGGCUACGUGUACAAGGUAAAGGUAAAGUUGCAGUUUGAUUAUAUUGUGGGACUUGAACUGGAAUUUAUUCUCCUGAACUAGAACCAGCUAAACCAAGGGUUAAGAGAAUAGCUAAUCCUGAAAAAUUAUUUUCAUUAUUUUUGAGCUCUGAUCAACCAGUGAUCAAUAUAUUCUACAAAGGGAUACAGUCCAGACAUAAAGACAAAAAGAAACUGAGAAUCACAAUAAUCUGUUCACCAUUUGGCUUCCAUUAUUAAUUAAAUUGUCAUCAAGUUGCCAUCUUUCCACUAACUGUAUACAAUUUUCUUUGCUCAAAAUUUUGACCAAUAUAAGUUACACAACAACACACAAUUAAUAAGAGAGAAAAUUGACAUGGAGAGUCAGCAGCUAAAAGAUAAAAAAGGGCAAAAUGUUUACUCAAGGAACCAAGACAUACCGAGUUCUGUCUCUGUCCAUAUCCUGAGUCAUGAAAGUAUUCUGGCAGUUCCAAUUCAUUCCACAGAGGUAAACAACCUCAUAAAAGCAAAGAAUAUGAAAGAAAUGAAUAGUUGGGAUGCUCCAACACCAAUUUUCAGAAAAAGAUAUCUUUCCUUUAUUCCUAAAUUUUUCAAAUCAUAUCUGUGUAACCCUCUAAUAAAUAGUUUGUACCUCAAAUUCUUUUCAUUCUAUAAACUUUGAAUACCAAUCUCAAACAUUGAAGGCCUCUGCACGAAGUAAAAUACGAUGAGCCUCCAUCCAUUUUGCACAAGCUUUUUCACCAUGCUCAACGAUGCAUUCGUCUCUGAGCUUCUUCGUCUCAGGGCAAGCACAGCAAAUUUUCUUCUUUGGCUUCGAUCUGCACCAGAUGUUUUUUUGCUGACCCCUGAUUUUGUUGCGAGCCAGGCAAAGCUAAGGCAAAGGCAUUUUGCGCAGGCAACCCACCUAUUCUCUGAGGUAGAAAGUGAUCUAAGAUAAUGUGAGAGAAAUAGAGAGAAGAGAUGCCAGAAAAUGGAUCAGCAAAAACAGAACCAAAACUUAUCCAAUUAAGCACAAUGAAGAAAUUCAUCAUAAAGGCAAAGAAAAUAAAGAUAGGCUUUGAUAUCAGUAAUCAUAUGACAACAACAACCUGCAGCUAAUGUCUAUUACUUUUCCUUUUUAUGUCUUACUAAUACUAAUGAAAAGCUAUUAGUUUAUUAUAGUUAUUGAUUCGAUCAGUUCGAUUAAUGUUAAAUUACAUUAUUUAAUAUUAAAUUAAUUAAAUUAUGUGAUUUUAUUUUUAUUAAUUGAAUCAAAUUUUUUAAUUUUAAAAAUUACUGAUCAAAAUUAAUUCGAUUGAUUUUGUUAAUUUUUUUGGUUAACUAAAUAAUCAAAUAAUUAAGUUUAAUUAUAUUUAAAUUUUUAUUUUCUCAUAUGUAAAACAAAUUAAAUAAAGUUAUCCAACGAAAAUAUUUAAACAUUGAAAUAUUACAUUAAAAACUCUAAUAACUUGAAAUAAAAUAAACAAUUCCAUAUAUUUUUAGUUUUAUAUAUAAAUUUUAUAAUAUUUCAGUUAAUUUGAUUUUCAAAUUAAAUUAAUUAAAAACUAAAUUUUAUUUUAAAUUAUUUUUGAAAAUCAAUUGAAAUUAAUUCAAUAAUCAACCAAUUAAUCAAAUUAAAUAAGUUCAAUUGAUUAAUUCAAUCAAAACUAAAUUAUAAACGCUCUUAAUUUGAUAUGCUAUUGGGAAGAAAUUUUGUUUUAUUUGAAUGGGUAUAAAAGAGAAUGAAAAAGUAAAUACCUUAAUUGGGCCUAUUAAAGGGAUAGUAGACUUAGACUAAAUAUUCUUUGGGCUGAACUCCCAAGAAAGAAAAAGGGCAAGUAUAGAUUUUGGCCCAACAAAUGGACUAACAAUUAAAUACCCAAUGAAUCUGAAUUUUAUUUUAUGUAAAAAGAGUAGACAACUCAUAAUUUUUAAUUUCUACUUUAUAUAUAGUUUAAAUUAAAUUUCACUUUAUUCACACAAUUGAUUUUAUGUAUGCUAAAUUAAAAUUUUUUAAUUCGCAACAUAAUAUCACCAUUUGAUCUGAUAAUUGUUUUUUUUAUUUUUUAAAAGCAAUCAUGUAUGUGUGUAUAUAUAAAUAAAUUUUUAUUUUUUACAAAAAAAAAAAAAAACCAAAACUUCAUUUAUCAAAUUGUCAAAAUGGGUUUAUGUAAUAAUCCUAAAAAACUUGAUAUGGACAUGUAAAGGAGAAAAAAAAAACGUGGUAGUGAAGAGGACAAUCAUGAUUUUCUUUGCUAUACAUGAAGAUAAAAAGAUUGAAAACAUAUAUAUAAGGCUAUACUUUGUUCUCAUAAAAUAUUCUAAAGGUUGAGAUCAAACUCUUAAUUGAAGCAUCCCUCAACUCACAACCCCAAACCAUAUAGCAAAUUUGGAAGCCCCAAUUCCUUCUCGGCAUGGAAGUCAAAGCUUCUUAAUAUUUGGUUUGUCAUGGCCCAAUGAAGCCGAACAUGAUCAAGUACUCUAGUUGUAUGGUCAUCGAUUGACUCGUUGUCGUCAAAGGAUACAUAGGCUCAUGCUGUGAAAUCCAUAAAUCUUUCCACUUCUUUGAUGAAACAAGUGUUCGUACUACAUAUUUUGUUGGGGGAGAGUUAAGAAUCUUUUCAUGAAGUGGAUCAUGCGGUUCGCUUAUUCACCAGCUUUCUCUUUCAUCUAAUGUGAAAUAAGCAAACUUACUGUAAGUUCUUAUGGUAAAAAAACCAAAGGAAAAAAAAAUGAAAUGAACUAAACAUUAAGAGAAAAUGUUGGAUUGCUACAACAAAAUGGAUGAGAAAACAUUUACCUUCCAAGAGAAUUAGGUGCAUAUAUUUCCUAUCUUCUUGAAUUGCCAUGAACAACAAUCAAAUUCAACAAUGAGCAGACAAGAAGUUUUGUAAUCCACAACCAUUUUAAGAUCGCUAAGAGAAAAACUUUGAACUCUAGCAUCUUCUCGUCCUACAAAUUUUGUCUAUGUUCAUACUAAUGGUCGGAAAUUGUGUUUAUAUAGACAGUGAAAAAUAAAUACACAUGAAUUUUUAGGACUAAAAAUAUAAUUAUCCUAAAGAUUUUUUUAAAAUAACUUACGAUGUUUAGAGAUUUUUACUAAAUUACUUACGAAAUAUAAUAAUUACCUUGAAGAUUUUUAUAAUGAUCAUAACUUUAGAAGAUUUUGCUAGAUAACUUAUGAAAUAUUCAUUUUAUGCAUUUUUAUAUUUUUAAAUAUAAAUUAUUAAAAUUUUUAAAUCAAAAAAUUUUGCAAUUAAGAUGCCAUUUUAUAUUUUUUUAUGCCUAAUUAAAGGUAUUCAUGGAUCAGACUAAGUUGGGUUCAAGCUAAACUCGUGCUUGGUAUUAAUAGUUUAUAUAUUUGUUUAAGCCCGGCCCAAUCCAAAAUUUCAAGCUUCAAAUUUUUUUCAAGUUCAAUCUAAAUUAAAAAAAUAAAUCUUAAACUCACCCAUUAAACUUAAUUUAUAUAAUAAAAAUUUAAAAAAAAUGAUUAAAUUAAGUUUAAUAGAUAAAUUUAAUUCACAUAUAUAUAAAAUUAAAAAUAAAAAUUAUAUAUGUAAAAAUAAAUAUAAUAAUUAUAUAAAAUAAAUUUUAAAUUUAAUAAAAUAUAUAUUUUAUUUUAAUUUUAUAUAAAUGUGAAUUAAUUUAUAUAUAAUUCACAUAUACAUAUAUGUAAAAAUAAAAAAUUUAUAUAUAUGUAAAUUUCGGCCGAGUCGAACUUGAGUUUUAAAUUUUUUAUCUAAGAUUCAAUUUAAAAUUUAAACGGACCUAAAAAUUAUGCUCCAACUUGUUUAAUUAAUUUUAAUUUUUUGUCCAAACUUUAUUAAAAUUGAAGCAAACUUUCAAACUUGGGCGAAUAGCCCUACUCUUGAACAGAUUUAAUCAUAUUGUGACAAAUUAACUGACUUUCUCUUGAAGUAUAUUUUUUUCUUCCUUUGAUAUGAAAAUUUGUAGCGUUUUUUUUUUUUUCUUAAGGUUAAAAACCCAAGCCUCCAAAGUUCUAUUUACCAUUAAUUCAUGGAGAACAUUUGCUUACUUUAACAUAUAAUUAUUAGAGAAAGAUAAUAGAACAUUACAGCAAAAAAUUAACAUCACACCAAACGAUGGUUGAUAAUAUGACACCCUUCAUAAUAUAGAAAUGCACAAAUAUAUGAGCUUUUGGAUAACAAAUUUUAAAAAAUUUUGAUAUAAAAACAUUUUAAAACACAUCAAUUCACAAUAUUAAUCGAGACUAGUGAUCUUGAUGCAUGUUUUUAACAACCUAUUUUCUAAAUAAAGCUUUCUUUUUUCUUUUUUUUUCUAUCCAACUCUCUUCUCAUUUUUUUAGAUUGAUUUCACUUAGCUUUUCAAGAAUAAGGAAUUUAUAUAUAAUUUUUUUUUAGUAAUGAACCAAAGAGAAACUCUCCAUCAGUCUGUUCCAAGGGAAAUGCCUAACAUUUUGAUGGUCAAUAUAUAAGGGUAUUUAGGCCUAAUAUAUGCGUGUUGGAAUACUAGUGAGCUACAUUUUUAAAAGCAAAUAGAAACUUAAAAAAAAGCGUGAUGUCAAUGGGGUUUUUGGAUAAUAUCAUAAUCAUAAUUAAUCCUGAUAAGCUUUAAGCUCCUUUUAUUUAUAUAUUUAUUAAUUUAAAAGUUGAUAUGAUGAGAGAGUAUAUAUAUAUUAAGAAUGUAAUCAUGUGAAGAUGUAACUUUUGUCUACAAGAUUGAUAUUUUUACCAUAUGAUAUGAUGAUCCUAAUACCAUAUUUGUAAAUUAAAACCAAGAUAAGUGCUGAGAAUGUCAAUGCUCAAAAUCAAUUACAAUUAAUUUCACAAAGUAAAACCCCUUUUUACCAUCUUUUUCCCUAGUUUUGGUUUAUCAAAGUGUUUCAAAGCAUCAAGAAAUUUCCCACCAACAAUCUUGAAAAGAAAUUAGCAAAUAUUAGUUAUGGAGCUACUAUCUUCUUUCAACUUGUUGAUUGAGAGAAAAAUUAAGCUUGAAAAUUUUAAAUAUAAUAAUUUUUAAACAUCACAUAAUAAUAUAAUGCGAAAAUUUUAUAAAAAAUUACAUAAAAUUAAUACAAUUUAAAAUUGACAAAUCAUAUAAAAAUUUGAUAAAAAUUAAAGAAAAAAUACAUUUCAUAUUUAACAUAUUAAUAUAAAUUAUAAUAUAAUAAUUUUUAUAUUUUAAACAUAUUUAAUAAAAUACCAUACGAAUAGAUGUAUUAUUUAAUUUGUAAAGAUAUAUAGAUAGAUAUCUAUACUGGAAUAUAUGCCAUCUCUCUUUUAAAAACGAGAAAUGACAUUGACAUAAUAGGAGGAUAGCAUCACAGCAAGCCAAGCCCCUUCAUUAUCAAGAUUCCUUCCGACUCUUCCUCAAGAGGCGUGUGCUUCUCUCAUGCCUACCUGGGCCCCCCGUACACGAAACAGUACCCUCUCCCUUCUUUCCUCCUCCUAUCUAUAAAAUACAUGAUCAUGCAAAGCUUUGGAGAUAUAGCAAUCCAUUGCAGGCUAUAACAACUUAAGAAACUCAAAAAACCUUCAGCUCUCAGUUCUCACGUUCAAAAACUUUCCAAGUUCACCAUGUCUAACAAGUGAGGCAACUGUGACUGCACUAACAAGAGCCAAUGCAUGUAAGUAAUCGAUAAUCUAUCCAUGAUAAACUUCCUUCGAUGUGUGGUUUGAGAUUAUGUUAUUGUUUUAAGUUAUGUUCAUUUUUGCCUUGUUGCCAUCAGGCUGAACAAAAACUUUUCAAUAGCAGUCAUUUUAUCUUUUCCUACCAUGUUUCCUCAGGGACAACGUGUGGAAACUUGAACUAAUUGUUAUCUUUAAUCUCUUUGUAAGUUUGAAAUCAAGUAUCAUUGAAACUAAAGGCUUUUUUUUUUUUUGCUUUUCUACGCUUACAGGAAGAAGGGAAACACCUUGGUCACUGAGACUGAGAAGAGGUAUAUGCUCUGCACUUCACUCUGAUAUCUGCAAAGAAAUAAAUCAAUAAUAAACAUAAAAUUUCGUAUGCUACAAAGAUCUGAAACAUUUCUUAGAUUUCAAAUAAGCAAUCAAAAACUUUCAUAUGCAUUUAGUUUUUAGAUAUAGCUUUUAUAAUAUUUCGAUUAAAAUUUUGGUUAAUUCGAUUUUUGAGCUAAAUUAAUUAAAAGUUAAAAUUUUUAUAAAACUAUUUUUAAAAACCAACUGAAAUUAAUUCAAUUAUUGACCAAUUAACCAAAUUAAAUUAGUGCAAUAAAUUAAAAUCAAAUUAUGAACACCCCUAAUUUUGAGAUGCUGUUAGAAAAGAAAAUUAGUUUUAUUUGAAUGGGUAUAGAAAAGAAAGAAAAAGAAAAGACUUUAAGCAAUGACAGGUCUAUGGAUAUGGCAGACUUUGGACCUGUGAAAUGGAUAGUAAACUUAAACUGGCUAUCUUUUGGGCUGAACUCCCAAAAAAUAAAAAUGUCGAGACUAGAUUUUGGCUCAACAAAUGACAAACAAUUAAAGGUUUAAUGCAUCUGAAUUUUAUUCUAUGUAAAAAGAGUACACAACCCAUAAUUUUUAAUUUCUACUUCAUAUAUAGUUUAAAUUAAAUUUCACUUCAUUCGCAUAAUUGAUUUUAUGCAUACUAAUUUCAAUCUUUUAUUUUAUUCCCCAACAUAAUAUCAUGAUUUGAUUAGAUAAUUGAAUUUUUAUUUUUCAAAAGUAUUCAUUUAUGCGUGUAUAUAUAAAUAAAUUUUUAUUUUUUACCAAAAAAACAUAAACCAAUGCUUCAUUCAUCAAAUUGUCAAAAUGGGUUUGAUUUUUUAUGUAAUAAUCCAAAAAAACUUGACAUGGACAUGUAAGGGAGAAAAAAAAAAAAAAGAAAGGUGGUAGUGAAGAGGACAACCAUGAUUUUUCCUUGCUAUACAUGAGGAUAAAAAGAUUGAAAACGUAUAUAUAAGGCUAUACUUUGUUUUCAUAAAAUCUUCCAAGGUUGAGAUCAAACUCUCCAAUUAGAACAUCCCUUGACACAAAGCCUCAAACCAUAUAGCGAAUUCGGGAGCCCAAAUUUCUUUUCGGCAUGGAAGGUGAAACUUCUUAAUAUUUCAUUUGUCAUGGCCCGAUAAAACAGAACUUGAUCAAGUAGUCCAAUUGUAUGAUCAUUAAUUGACUCUUUAUUGUCAAACGAUACAUAAGCUCGUGCUGUGAAAUCCAUAAACGCAACAGUACCCUCUCCCUUCUUGCCUCCUCCAUCUAUAAAUACAUGAUCUUGCAAAGCUUUGGAGAUGUAGCAAUCCAUUGCGAGCAAUAACAUGUUUAGAAACUCAAAAAAACCUUCAGCUCUCAGUUCUCACGUUCAAAAACUUUCCAAGUUCACCAUCUCUGACAAGUGCGGCAAUUGUGACUGCGCUGACAAGAGCCAGUGGGUGUAAGUAAUCGAUAAUCCAUCCAUGAGAAACUUCAUUCUAGGGUUGUGAGUGGUUUGAGAUUAUGUUAUUGUUUUAAGUUGUUAUGUUCAUUUCUGCCAUGUUACCGUCAGGCUGAACAAAAACUUUUCAAUAGCAGCCAUUUUAUCUUUUCCUACCAUGUUUCCUCGGGGACAACCUGUGGAAACUCAAACUAAUUGUUAUCUUUAAGCUCUUUGGGAGUUUGCAAUCAAGUAUCGUUGAAACUAAAAGCUUUUCUAUGCUUACAGGAAGAAGGGAAACACCUUGGUCAAUGAGACUGAGAAGAGGUAUACUUUCUGCAAUUCACUUGAUAUCUGCAAAGAAACAAACCAAUAAUAAACAUAAAAUUUCAUAUAUGCUACUAAGACCUGAGCCAUUCCUUAGAUUUUCAAACAAGCAAUCAAAAACUUCUUGAUCUGAUGCAUGAUUUUCUACAGUCAUAUUCUCCGAAGUACUUAUCCAGAGAGGCAAAAAGAACUAUGUUUUUCACAGUCGAUGAAUCGAGAAUUAAGAAACUUAAUUUAAAGUAUACAUAUGCUAAUUGUAAUCUGCAUUGUGUUCUUUCUGUGCAGCCACAUCAGCACUGUUGUCGUUGAGACUCCAGCUGAAAAUGAUGGCAAGUGCAAGUGCGGAGGCUGCAGCCGCACAAACUGCACAUGUGGUGCUCAUUAAGCAAACAUAAAAUAAUAAUGUUGCAGUUCAUGGCGAUAUAAUGGCCUAAAAAACAAUGAAACUUGGGUUGAAUGGUUUGUCUUUUGUUGUCUGUCAAUAAUGGUUUGUCUUUUGUUGUCUGUCAAUCGUAUGUUUGUCUUUUCAAAAUUUCAAAUUAAAUUAUUCAAAAUCGAAUUAAUCGAAUUUUGUUAUUUUAUUUUUAUUAAUUAUAUCAAUUUUUUAAUUUUAAAAAUUAAUCGACUGAAAUUAAUUUGAUUGAUUCAAUUAAUUUUUUUGAUUAAUCAAAUAAUAAAAUUUAUUGAGUUAAAUUUUAUUUUAAAAUUUUUUGUUUCAUAUGUGAAACAAAUUAAAUAACAUCAUCUAACAAAAAUAUUCAAACAUCAAAGUAUUAAAUUAAAAACUCUUGAAAUAAAUUUGAUAAUUUCAUAUAUUUUUAGUUUUAUAUAUAGAUUUUAUAGUAUUUCGAUUAAACUUUCGGUUAAUUUAAUUUUUGAAUCAAAUUAAUUGAAAACUAAAAUUUUUUAAAAUUAUUUUUAAUAACUAAUCAAAAUUAAUUCAAUGACUAACCGACUAACCAAAUUAAAUCAAUUCGGUUGAUUAAUUUGGUUUUGAACACCCCUACUUUGAGAUGCUAUUGGAAAGAAAAUUUCUUUUAUUUGAAUGGGUAUCAAUAAGAAUGAAAAGAAAAGACUUUAAACAAUGACAGACUUGUGGAUAUAUAUAGCAGAAAUAUUUUUUAGGCUGAAUUCGCGAAUAAAGAAAAAGGCCAAGACUAGAUUUUGGCUCAACAUAUGGACUAAUAAUUAAAGGCCCAAUUUAUCUGAAUUUUAUUUUAUGUUAAAAAAAAGACAACUCAUAAUUUUUAAUUUCUACUUCAUAUAUUGUUUAAAUUAAAUUUCACUUCAUUCACAUAAUUGAUUUUAUGUAUGCUAAUCUAAAUAUUUUUUCCCAAAUAAUAUCAUUAUUUGGUUUGAUAAGUGUUUUAUUACUUUUUUUAAAAGCAUUCAUGUAUGCUUGUGUAUAUAAAUAUUUUUUUUUUUUUUUUGAAAAAAACAUACACCAAUACUUCACUUAUAAAAUUGUCAAAAUGGGUUUAUUUUUUAUAUAAUAAUCCUAAAAAACUUGAUACGGACAUGUAAAGGAGAGAAAAAAAAAUAAGUGGUAGUAAAGAGGACAACCAUGAUUUUUCUUUGCUAUACAAGGAUUAAGAGAUUGAAAACUUAUAUGUAAGGCUAUACUUUGUUCUCAUAAAAUCUUCAAAGGUUGAGAUCGAACUCUUCAAUCAAACUAUCCCUCAACACACUGCCCAAAAUGAUAUAGCAAAUUCUGAAGCCCCAAUUUCUUCCCGGCAUGGAAGUUUAAGCUUAUUAAUAUUUGGUUUGUCAUGGCCCGAUGAGGCAGAACAUGAUCAAGUACUCCAGUUUUAUGAUCAUCCAUUGACUCAUUGUCAUCAAAGAAUACGUAUGCUCAUCCUGUGAAAGCCAUAAAUCUUUCCACUUCCUUGACGAAACAAGGGUUCGUACUGCAAAUUUUGUAGGGGGGAAGGUUGAGAAUCUUUUCACGAAGUGGAUCAUGCAAAUCGCUUAUUCAACAACUUUCCCUUCAUCUGAUAUGAAAUAAGCAAAUUUACUGUAAGUUAUUAUAGUAAAAAAAAAAAAACAAAGGAUAAAAAUUUGAAAUGAACUAAAACAUUAAGAGAAAAUGUUGGAUAGCUACAACAAAAUGAAAGAGAAAAUAUUUACCUUCUAAGAGAAGUAGGUGCAUAUAUUUCCUAUCUUCUUGAAUUGCCACGAACAACAAUCAAAUGCAACAAUGAACAGACAAGAAUUCUUGUAAUCCACAAACAUUUUAAGAUCGCUAAGAGAAAAACUUUGAACUCUAGCAUCUUCUCAUCCUACAAAUUUUAUCUAUGUUUAUACUAAUGGCCGAAAACUGUGUUUAUAUAGACAGUGAAAAAUAAAUGCACAUAGAUUUUUAGGACUAAAAAUAUAACUAUUCUAAAGAUUUUCUUUAAAUAACUUACGAUGUUUGGAGAUUUUUACAAGAUUACUUACGAAAUAUAACAAUUAUCUUGAAGAUUUUUACACUAAUCAUAAUUUUAAAUGAUUUUAUAUUUUUUAAAUAUAUAUUAUCAAAAUUUUUAAAUUAAAAAAUUCUAUAAUUAAUGUGCCAUUUUAUAUUUUGUUAUACCUAAUUAGAGGUGUUUUUGAGUCAGAUCGUGUUGGGUUCGGCUUGAGCUCAUACAUGAUUUUAAUAGCUUAUAUGUUUGUUUAAGCCCAACACAAAAUUUCAUGCUUUAAAAUUUUUUCAAGUUCAACCUAAAUUUUAAAAAAUAAAUCCCAAACUCACCCAUUAAACCUAAUGUAUAUAAUAAAAUUAAAAAAAAUGUAAUUAAAUUAAGUUUAAUAGAAUUAUAUUUAAUUCACAUAUAUAUAUAAAUUAAAAAUAAAAUUAUAUAUGUAAAAUUUAAAAAUUAAGAUUAAUAAAAUAUAUAAUUUUGUUUUUAUUUUUAUAUAAAUGUGAAUUAAUUUAUUUAUAAUUCAUAUAUACAUAUAUAUAAAUAAAAAAUUUAUAUAUAUGUGAAUUCAGUCCAGGCCAAAUUUGAGUUUUAAUCCAAGAUUCAAUUCGAAUUUAAACGGAUUUAAAAAUUGUGAUCAAACCCGUUUAAUAAGUUUUAAUUUUUUAUCAAUACCCUCUCAAAAUUUAAAUGAACUUUCGAGCUUGGAUGAAUAGUCCAACUCUUGAAUAAAUCAAAUCAUAUUGUGACCGAUCAACUGACUUUCUCUUGAAGUUUUUUUGGUUAUAUGAAAAUUUAUAGUGCUUUUUUUUAAAGGUUAAAAACCCAAGCUUCUAAAGUUCUAUUUACCAUUAUUUCAUGGAGAACAUUUGCUUCCCUUAACGUAUAAUUAUUAGAUAAAGAUAAUAGAGCAUUACAGCAAAAAAUUAAUACCACACCAAACAAUGAUUGACAAUAUGUCACCUUUCAUAAUAUAGAAAUGCACAAAUAUAUGGGCUUACUCUUACAUAAGAAGAUGCCUUUGGAUAACAAUUUUCAAAAAAAUUUUGAUAUAAAAACAUUUUAAAAUACAUCAAUUCACAAUAUUAAUUGAGACUAGUGAUCUUGAUGUAUGUUUGUAUUAAUCUAUUUUUUAAAUAAAGCUUUUUAUCUUUUUUUUUUCCUAUCCAACUUUCUUUGCACUUUUUUAGAUUGAUUUCACCUAACUUUUCAAGAAUAAAGAACUUAUAUAUAAUUUUUUUUUAGUAAUGAGUCAAAGAGAAAUUCUCCUUCGGUCUUUUCCAAAGGAAAUGCCUAACAUUUGGAUGGUCAAUAUAUAAGGGUAUUUGUGCCUAAUAUACACAUGUUGGAAUACUAGUGAGCCACAUUUUAAAAGCAAAUAGAAAACUGAAAAAAAAAAAUGCAUGACCUCAAUGAGGGUUUUGAGAUAAUAUCAUAAUUAAUCCUAUAAGCUUAAAGCUCCAUUUAUUUAUAUAUUUAUUAUCUAAAAAAUAAAGUUGAUGUGACGAGAGAAUACAUAUAUAUAUAUAUAUAUAUAUAUAAAUGAGGAUGAAUCAAUUUUUAUAAUGUAAUUCAUUUUUAGUUUUACAUAUUUUUUUAAUUAUUGAUUUUAAUAAAUUUAAGAGAUGAGAUUAAAUCAUUAUUUUUUAUUGUUACUUGUCUUUCUUUUUUUUUUAAAUCUUUUAAAAUUAAUGAUUACAAAAUAUAUAAAACUAAAAAAAAAUUAUUGUGUAAUUAAAUCAAUCCCUCUCAUAUAUAUAUAUAUAUAUAUAUAUAUAUUAAGACUGUAAUCAUGUGAAGAUGUAACUUUUUGUCUACAAGAUUGAUAUUUGUUAUGAUCCUAAUAUCAUAUUUGUAAUUAAGACCAAGAUAAGUGCUAGGAAUGUCAAUGUUCAAAAUCAAUUACAUUUAAUUUUACAAAGUAAAACGCCUUUUUACCAUCUUUUUCGCUAGUUUUGGUUUAUCAAGUGUUUCAAAGCAUCAAGAAAUUUCCUAACAACUAUCUUGAAACGAAAUUCUCCUUGGAGAAUCUGAAAUAGAUCUCUCCAUGUUCUCUUGUCAAAUUUUGUUUUAGAGCUACUAUCUUUUUUCGACUUGUUGAUUGAGAAAAAUAUUAAACUUGAUAAUUUUAGACAUGAUAUAAUAAUAUAAUAUAAAAUUAAUUUACAAAAAAUAUGAAAGCAAUAUAGUUUAAAAUUAACAAAAAUCAUAUAUAAAUUUAUUAAAAAUAAAAAAAAAUAUAUUUUAUAUUUAAUGUAUCAACACAAAUUACAAUAUAAUAAUUUUUAUAUUUUACAUAUAUUUAAUAAGAUAUAAUACGAACAUAUAAGUUAAUAAAUUUUAUAAAGAUAGAUAUCUAUACUUGUAUAUAUGCCAUCUCUUUUUCAAAAACGAGAAAUGAUAUUGACACCAGAGGAGGAUAGCAAGCCAAGGCCCUCCAUUAUCAAGAUUCCUUCUGACUCUUCCUCGAGAGGCGUGCUUUUCUCUCAUGCCUAAGCCCCCCAUGCACGAAACGGUACCCUCUCCCUUCCUACCUCCUCCAUCUAUAAAUACAUGAUCAUGCAAAGCUUUGAAGAUAUAGCAAUCCAUUGCAAGUUGUAACAACUUUAGAAACUCAAAAAACCUUCAGCUCUCAGUUCUCACGUUCAAAAACUUUCCAAGUUCACCAUGUCUGACAAGUGCGGCAACUGUGACUGCGCUGACAAGAGCCAGUGCGUGUAAGUAAUCGAUAAUCCAUCCAUGAUAAACUUCCUUCUAGGGUUGUGUGUGGCUUGAGAUUGUGUUGUUGUUUUAAGUUAUGUUCAUUUCUGCCAUGUCACCGUCAGGCUGAAUAAAAACUUCUCAAUAGCAGCCAUUUUAUCUUUUCCAACCAUGUUUCCUCAGGGACAACCUGUGGAAACUCGAAGUAAUUGUUAUCUUUAAGCUCUUUGUGAGUUUGCAAUCAAGUAUCAUUGAAACUAAAGGCUUUUUUUUUGCUUUUCUAUGCUUACAGGAAGAAGGGAAACACCUUGGUCAUUGAGACCGAGAAGAGGUAUACUUUCUGCACUUCACUCUGAUAACUGCAAAGAAACAAAACAAUAAUAAACAUAAAAUUUCAUAUGCUACUAAGACCUAAGCCAUUCCUUAGAUUUUCAAACAAGCAAUCAAAAACUUCUUGAUCUGAUGCAUGAUUUUCUACAUACAUAUUCUCCUAAGUACUUAUCUAGAGAGGCAAAAAGAAAUAUGUUUUUCGCAGUUGAUGAAUCGAGGAUUAAGAAAUUUAAUUUGAAGUAUACAUAUGCUAAUUAUAAUCUGUAUUGUGUUCUUUCUGUGCAGCUACAUCAACACUGUUGUCGUUGAGACUCCAGCUGAGAAUGAUGGCAAGUGCAAGUGCGGAGCUAGCUGCAGCUGCACAAACUGCACAUGUGGUGGUCAUUAAGCAAACAUAAAAUAAUAUUGUUGUAGUUCAUGGCGAUAUCAUGACCUAAAAAAUAAUGAAAUUUGGGUUGAAUGAUUUGUCUUUUGUUGUCUGUCUGUCAUAUGUUUGUGUCUCCUUACAUACUGUGAUCAUGUAAUGGCCAUGUCCAUGGACUUGUCUUGUUAAUGAAUUACUAUUAGUAUAACUUUUCUC